Molecule: long non-coding RNA, 2167 nt
Filed under: Cricetulus griseus (Chinese hamster)
Lineage: Eukaryota; Metazoa; Chordata; Mammalia; Rodentia; Cricetidae
Description: lncRNA (ENSCGRG00015036484.1)
Rfam family: U5 spliceosomal RNA (bases 90-205)
Source: RNAcentral
CCAAUGACCACUUGUUUUGCGCAUCUAGUUCCCAUUUGUUAUGCAGGAGUUUCGGGCGGCUGAGGACGGUGGGCGGAGCCGUUGUCAGCAUACUCUGGUUUCUCUUCAGAUCGUAUAAAUCUUUCGCCUUUUACUAAAGAUUUCCGUGGAGAGGAACAAUUCUGAGUCUUAACCUAAUUUUUUGAUGUCCCAUUUCUGUGGGACUACUGUUGCUUGUUCAAAAACAGAAUAUAGUUUUUCUUUUUAAGUUUCUCGCUUUGUGUUUCAAAGCCCGUUAUCACAUGCCUUGUCUCCAGGUCCCACUGAAGUCUUCUGAGCAAAUUUGUGGAGUAACUAAAAAGCAAACAUGUUGGGGAAGAGCUGAGCUCUGGCGUUCUCACAGACAGGAUUGGGAGUUGUUUCACCAGGUAAGCUUAUCUAUCAUGCACAAAUCUUCAUUUUUACCCACAACUCUGUAAAACCUGAAGGUAGCAUGUGCUUAGGACCUUUGUACUGGGGAGGCAAAGGCCACAGGACCAAAACUCAAAAUUGUCGCUGGCUAUAUUAAGGUUCCAAGUCAGAUGAGGCUAAAUGAGACUGUCUUAAAACAAAAAAAUUGGUCUCCAGAUUUGGGGAAAAACCCUAACCAAAUCCGAAAAGAAAACUUUAGAUUUCCUUCCUUUGAUCCUAUCCCACUUUGGGAAAUUCUUUUUUCACUUUUGCUUUAUCUAUGCUAACAAGAACAAAAAAUCCCUGGCGGUUCAUACUGGUUCGAACCUUUAAUCCCAGCAUUCGGGCGGCAGAAACAGACAGAUAUCUGAGUUCCGGACUGGCCUGGGUUACACACUGAGAUCCUGGCCUGAAAAAAACAAAACAUCAACAAAGUCUCCUAGAGAAACAAUAGCAAAGAAAAACAAUAAAAUCUAAAGACCACAUAUAUUCUAAACCAAAACUAACAAAAAAUAGUCCAGGAGGUGGUGAUGCUUGUCUUUAAUCCCAGCAUUUGGGAGGCAGAGGCAGGUGGAUCUUUGUGGCUUCAAGGCCAGCAUGGUCUAUAUAAUCAGUUCCAGGACAGCCAGGGGUACACAGAGAAACCCUCUCUUGAAAAACCAACAUUCCACCAGGUGGGGGUAGAGUGGAGUGCUGCAAGCCUUCAUUUAUUUAUUUUUUAAUUAUUUAUAUUUUAUGUCCAUUGUUUGGCCUGCAUGUGUGUCUGUGUGAGGGUGUCAGUUCCUCAAAAUUGAACUCAGGUCUUCGGGAAGACCAACCAAUAUGUUAACUACUGAGCCAUCUCUCCAGUUGGUGCAUCCCUUUAAUCCCAGCACUCCAAAGACAGAGGCAGGAGGCAAAGGCAGACAGAUCUCUGUGAGUUCAAGGCCAACCUGAUAUACAGAGUGAGUUCCAACCAAACAACCAACCAAAAACCCCAAAGAAAAAAUGAACAACAGGGAGAGUAGGAGAACCCAAACUAAAUCAAAAUGAAAACACAAAACUGAGUUAGCUGGGCUGGCUAGUCUUAUUCCAGUCAUUGAUGACUAGAGGAUAGAAGUCCAAAGACAUCCUGAACUAUAGAGCAGUUCAAGGGCAGCCUAGGUAACUUAAGGAGAUAUUGUUUCCACAAUUAAAAAAUAGAAACAACUGGGAAAUUGAUGGAAGGUCACAUAGUGGGUGUGAGGCUCGAGGCUCCAUCCUUAGCACUGCAAGGCAAAACCUGAAAGAGGCUGGGAGAAAGCAGAAACAGGAGUGGUGAAGGCUCGCCCAGGGUAUAAACCAUGGGGUAAAGGGGUGAGAUGUUGGGUUCUAGAGAUACUUGGAUGGUAGUCAGUGGACCAUAGACAUGGGGACAAAGAAGAGGCUUUGGGGACACUAUGGUAUUGAGUUACAGGAAGGAAGAGUGACUGGCCAUCACUGGAACUGGGGAAGGUGGCCCAGCACUGGAGGGUUUUUUGUUUGUUUGUUUGUUUGUUUUUGUUUUUUUUUUUUUUGGUUUCUUGAGACAAGGUUUCUCUGUGUAGCUCCUGGAACUCACUUUGUACACAAGGCUGGACUUGUACUAACAGACAUCCUCAUGCCUCUGCCUACUGAGUGCUGGGAUUAAAGGCAUUUGCCACCACAGGCUAGCUGGAGAUGUUUUAUUAGACACAAGGAGAUGCUAAUGUCUGGCUGAAAUACAAGCGAUUGAAGAAAC